Molecule: ribosomal RNA, 1031 nt
Filed under: Arthrobacter tecti
Lineage: Bacteria; Bacillati; Actinomycetota; Actinomycetes; Micrococcales; Micrococcaceae
Description: bacterial SSU rRNA
Rfam family: Bacterial small subunit ribosomal RNA
Source: RNAcentral
GGUGUAACCUCUUUCAGUAGGGAAGAAGCGAAAGUGACGGUACCUGCAGAAGAAGCGCCGGGCUAACUACGUGCCAGCAGCCGCGGUAAUACGUAGGGCGCAAGCGUUAUCCGGGAAUUAUUGGGCGUAAAGAGCUCGUAGGCGGUUUGUCGCGUCUGCCGUGAAAGUCCGGGGCUUAACUCGGGAUCUGCGGUGGGUACGGGCAGACUUGAGUGAUGUAGGGGAGACUGGAAUUCCUGGUGUAGCGGUGAAAUGCGCAGAUAUCAGGAGGAACACCGAUGGCGAAGGCAGGUCUCUGGGCAUUAACUGACGCUGAGGAGCGAAAGCAUGGGGAGCGAACAGGAUUAGAUACCCUGGUAGUCCAUGCCGUAAACGUUGGGCACUAGGUGUGGGGGACAUUCCACGUUUUCCGCGCCGUAGCUAACGCAUUAAGUGCCCCGCCUGGGGAGUACGGCCGCAAGGCUAAAACUCAAAGGAAUUGACGGGGGCCCGCACAAGCGGCGGAGCAUGCGGAUUAAUUCGAUGCAACGCGAAGAACCUUACCAAGGCUUGACAUGAACCGGAACGGCGCAGAGAUGUGUCGGCCACUUGUGGCCGGUUUACAGGUGGUGCAUGGUUGUCGUCAGCUCGUGUCGUGAGAUGUUGGGUUAAGUCCCGCAACGAGCGCAACCCUCGUUCCAUGUUGCCAGCGGGUUAUGCCGGGGACUCAUGGGAGACUGCCGGGGUCAACUCGGAGGAAGGUGGGGACGACGUCAAAUCAUCAUGCCCCUUAUGUCUUGGGCUUCACGCAUGCUACAAUGGCCGGUACAAAGGGUUGCGAUGCUGUGAGGUGGAGCUAAUCCCAAAAAGCCGGUCUCAGUUCGGAUUGAGGUCUGCAACUCGACCUCAUGAAGUCGGAGUCGCUAGUAAUCGCAGAUCAGCAACGCUGCGGUGAAUACGUUCCCGGGCCUUGUACACACCGCCCGUCAAGUCACGAAAGUUGGUAACACCCGAAGCCGGUGGCCUAACCCCUUGUGGGAGGAGCCGUCGAA